This is a long non-coding RNA of Symphalangus syndactylus (siamang), 2997 nucleotides long. RefSeq lists it as uncharacterized. NCBI's taxonomy places the organism in Eukaryota, Metazoa, Chordata, Mammalia, Primates, Hylobatidae. The record is from RefSeq and is a predicted model, not a curated record.
AAUAAACCCACGCAGCCCCACUUCGGGACGCACCUGCAGCCCAGCGGACAGCCUACCAGCCUCCAAACAGUUCUGCGAAAAAUUAGGCUAUCUUUCAUUAGCUAUCUACCAUGCGGCCUCCACCAGGCUGCAGGAUAUGAGGGCCAUUUAAUUAGGCCCUGCACCACUCUCGGGUGUGAAAAGGCUCUCAAACGCUUUGAUUCCCCGCUGCUUCGCAGCAGGAAGUUGUUGGCGAUAAUUGACAUAGGAUUUCCUUGUUAACCAGCAGCAGACACGCCGGAUUAAAGCGACAGAGAUCUCGAGAAGAAAGUGAAAGAGAUAAGAAGCUCGGAAGACUUCUGCUUAUUUGGCACUUGAGGAUGGCAGGAAACAGCAAUAACCUACUCAAGUGGCGACUCCAGAGUGGAAGGGCGUCCCCUUAUCAGACCCAUUUCAGCUUGGCUGAUCAAAGAUUGACUCCCCGCAAAAUCACAUAGGCCUGGGGUUUGUUAGUUUAUUAAGCGGCAGGUUUUAGGAAUUAUCACAGGUUUAAAGAUGGAUUGCAGUUUAUGUGAAGGGGGAGAGGAUUAUCGGGUUUUCAUCUUAACAAUUAUAAAAUAUCACAGCUGAAAGCUUGCUUGCAAAUGACAUAAUUUUCCACUGCCAACUAAACAGGUCAUUGUGAGGCUGCCUGUGAGCGCACUAAAUGAGGGAGGAAAUACAGGCAAAUUAACUCUGGGGAGGACAGGGGAUGAGGGGCCUCCACGCCUUGUUCCACUUCGGAAGACGGUGCGAUCUCAUUUUGCCCUGUGCGAUUCCUUAGGUAUAACAUCCAAUUGCUCCUGUUGGAAGGGACGUUCUGCAUGCAAAUGGCAGAGAUACUCUGGGUCACUCAAAUAUAUUGUUCCUGAAAGAAAGGAAGUGGUCUGCAGAGAAGAUACUCUGCUAGAAGAUUCCUCUGUGAGGCUGCUAGUACUUCUCCAGCAGACCAAGCCAGGAGAGCUUUCUGAAAGGUGAGCUGAUUUUCUCAACACCCGUAAUGAAAGUCAGUCACUCACAUAUAUCAGGGACUUCCUGUGUUAUGUCAGGCAUGGUUUUAAGUGCUUUGUUAUAUGAUCUGAUUUAAUCCUCACACCGCCCUAAGUGCAAAACAAAUUUCCAAAACUAGAAGUCUUCAUUUACUCAUUUCUUUAAAAAUAAGCAUUUAUUAAGUGUCUCCUAUUGGUCAGGCUCUGCACUGAGUGUUGAGGAUUUGAAGGCAAAAAAGACACGGAGUACAUAUGGGAAAAUAGGCCCGUAAGUCAGUAGAGUAGAACACAGUCAGAAGGAGGCAGGGUACUGAGUGGCUGGUGCACUGGUUUCUGAUUCAGAGGAACUUGAAUUGGGAUCCCAGCUCCAUUACUUCUAUUGAAUUUCCUUGGGCAAAAUGUGUGACUUCUCCAGGCCUUGGGUAUCUAAUCCAUAAAGUGGCAAUAAUAAUACUGAUUUUACCACUUGCUUCAAGGAUUAAAAGACACCCACAUGUCACCCACAUAGUAAGGAGCUGACAUCUAGUAUGUACUUAAUAAAUGGUACUACCUACUCAUUAUUACUGUUCAUGCUGUAACCAUUUAGUCAAGUAUUUUAGAAUUACAAAAAAAUUUAAGAACAUGAAGUUUUCAUCUUUAACAUCAAUCUCGCUCCUUACAGAUUUUACCAGAUUUUCCAGGGGUUCUCAAAGAUUGUCUGCAGAGCAGCACUGAUAAAUGAUUGCAGCUUCUUGAGUCUAUAGAGAGAGACCUUUAUGCUCUCUCUACUACGAAGUAAUGCUUUUUUCCCUGAGAUUAUGUUCUUUUUAAAAUUUUUAUGUGCUUUUAAAAUUUCAUGUGUGUGUUAACAUGUCCUUUCUUUACAGAAUGUUGAAGACAAUAUAUAAAUUUCUGAAAAGAUUUGAAUGAUUUGAUUUGGCAAAAUAAAGAAUUGCCAAUCCUACAUAGAGCUCCAUACACCAAUUUUUAAAAAUAAUUUUAUUGCUUCACAAAAUCUGGGAACCACUGGAUAUAUGAAGUAUCUCUUUUAGCAAAAGCAAAGUCAACUCUCACCCUAGAAAAAAGUUCAUUUUUUGAUCUGUUUUUAUUUUUCUGUGGCAAAAAGUGCUUUUGUGAUGCCUCUUUGAAUAAAAGACUCAUUUUCCUAAGUGAUGCAUCUGCUUUUAAUGUCUUAAAUGCUGGGAUAAGACAGACAUAUCUUCCCUGGUCUGGGUUUUCUUAAAUAGCCAGAAGUCUUCGUGAAAAAGACAAGCAAGCAUCUAAUAGAGAAAUAACUCCAAGACAAAGUGCCAUAGCUGCACGAUGUCGCCUCCCUGACAACCUAUAAAUGGACCAUAUUGAUGAAGUGAACAGGACUCUCUCUGGUCAUUUUCAACUAGAAACUAAUAACCCCCGUCAUGAUAUCAGGCAUGCAAUAACCUCGGUUAAAACUAGGUUCAUCAAAUAAAUCACUCAGGAAUUUCUCUAUUUCUUUCUCUGGACACAUUGCACAUCUGCUCAAUGAAAGGAAGAAAGAAGCAAUAUUUCUUUGAUCAGGAAUUUUGUUUUAAUAUUCUUGUAUCCAUCCCUUGGGAUACUAUCUUUUCAAGUGGGUGCAGAUAAUACAUCACUUUAUAAUGAAUGUGGAGAAUUUAUGAAUUUAAGCUAUAAAACCAAAUAUGAGGGAUUUUAGUUGAUCUCAAUCUAUAUUUUACAUUGUCAUGAGAAAAUAAACCGGACCACAAAGCCGUAUUGUGCCCAGUUCACUAAAUCUCCUGAUCUCUCAUGACCUUUUCAAUGUGUUCCAUUUGUGGCCACAUAUGGGAGGGGGAUACAAACAGAUGAUCGCUUUGUACUUUUUCCCAAUAUGUCUAAAUACAUGUUAUACUUUUCAUAUCCUCUCAGCCGCGGACAGUAAGGACUUGGCCAGAGCAUCAGACAUCAGCCUCAGCUAAUAUUGUUGUAUGUUAACAUCUUACUGACUCUGUUAAUACAGGUAUUGGGUGAAUUU